AGGACGAACGCUGGCGGCGUGCUUAACACAUGCAAGUCGAACGGACACUUUCGGGUGUUAGUGGCGAACGGGUGAGUAACACGUGGGCAACCUGCCCCUAGCUCUGGGAUAACUCCGGGAAACCGGGGCUAAUACUGGAUAUGACCUUCUCACGCAUGUGGGUUGGUGGAAAGUUUUUCGGCUAGGGAUGGGCCCGCGGCCUAUCAGCUUGUUGGUGGGGUGAUGGCCUACCAAGGCGACGACGGGUAGCCGGCCUGAGAGGGCGACCGGCCACACUGGGACUGAGACACGGCCCAGACUCCUACGGGAGGCAGCAGUGGGGAAUAUUGCGCAAUGGGCGGAAGCCUGACGCAGCGACGCCGCGUGGGGGAUGAAGGCCUUCGGGUUGUAAACCGUCUUUCAGCAGGGACGAAGCGCAAGUGACGGUACCUGCAGAAGAAGCACCGGCCAACUACGCGCCAGCAGCCGC
This 469-nucleotide ribosomal RNA is filed under the name uncultured bacterium. Its description in RNAcentral is "SSU rRNA". It matches the Rfam family "Bacterial small subunit ribosomal RNA", at positions 26 to 518 of the family's 1533-position model. The record is from RNAcentral.